This 182-nucleotide non-coding RNA is filed under the name Paenibacillus bovis. RNAcentral describes it as "FMN sequence". It matches the Rfam family "FMN riboswitch aptamer (RFN element)". Rfam says of the family: The RFN element is a highly conserved domain that is found frequently in the 5'-untranslated regions of prokaryotic mRNAs that encode for flavin mononucleotide (FMN) biosynthesis and transport proteins. This element is a metabolite-dependent riboswitch that directly binds FMN in the absence of proteins. The record is from Rfam by way of RNAcentral. Lineage: Bacteria; Bacillati; Bacillota; Bacilli; Caryophanales; Paenibacillaceae.
AUUUAUCCUCGGGGCGGGGUGAAAUUCCCCACCGGCGGUGUUGAGACAGGAUCGGACGCGUUCAUGCGCUUCCUUGAUCAGUCUCUCAGUCCGUGACCCGUAAUCUGUGCCUUGUGGCCGGAUGCGGUGGAUCUGGUGAGAAUCCGGAGCCGACAGUAUAGUCUGGAUGGGAGAGGAAAGAG